AUUCAACCACGAAGUUUGUCAUUGAACUAUUUGCGUAUUCAAAUACAAAUUAUGUGUAAAUACACUGUGUAGGAAUUUAAUUUAUUAACUAGGUACGUUAAUCUUUGCUUACUUCAACUUGACUUUAUAUUUGUUCCGCAAGUUCUAUUUUUAAAUAUCCAUUAAAAUCAUUAUUCUGUAUACUUACGUGCCAGUUUGAAGUGACAAUAAGCUCAUCUUCCGCAGAAUAUGUAGUGUACGUCACCACAGUCGAUCUUGUUUCAGGGUGAGCAACUCUUACUUAAGAAUUUAUGCUAAUAAAACACUUCAGUAAAAUGCUAAAAUAUCCAUUAACGACAUCACACGCGACAUCCAGUCCAGUUUUGACAGUCAACCAGUUCGUGUUAGCUUACUUAAAUCAAACAAAAUGUAUAAGAAUUAUUUAAUUAUAUUAGUUUUAGCAGUUCUGAUUAAUUUCGGAAAUUGUUGGCAAGUGUUUCCGUUGCCCGAUGCGCCGGCGCCGGUUAAACCCGUAGAUUUUGUGAAGGCAACUCCGGUGUUGCCGAAAACUCCAGUAGUUAGUCCAACAAAUGAAUAUACUCCAAAUAAACUUAAUGUUCGACCAACGAGUGUCAAUGCCGUGCUAUCUAAGCAAAAUGUCAGCGUACCAGCAACGGAUCUGCUCCCACCGAAGAUGAACUACGUCACCUACGAGCAGAAAUAAACCACACAUCAACUAUAAUGACUGAAAAAAUUCAUGGAAUGUUCAACUAUACCUACUCUGCCUAGCAUGCCAGUACAGUGAAAACGAAAAUAUUCGCUCAUAACUAGUUUGCGUUCCAAACUAUGCAAUGGAAUGCAUGUCAAUAAUUUUUUGGAUUUUUGUUUGUUCGUUUGUCGGCUCGUUUGUCUGUCUGUGUGCCUGUCUAUGGACGCACCACUUGAAAAGUAAUGGAUAGAUUUACCUAGUUAAUAUUGACUUGUUGUUACAUUAUAGUUAGGAUAAUUUCGACCAUGAUCAGGUUAACUGGAUGAGGUUAACACCAUAAACAAUAUAAUAUAGGUAGGUACCUAAAUAAUAAUGUACAAAAAUAUAUAAGUAAGAAAAAAUAAUGUAAAGGUUGUGAGAGUUGGUUUUACAGCGCUUUCACACUAGUGGAUUUUCCGCCCGCUUUUUUGUGAUUUGGGCAUUUAAGUUGUGCUGGGUAUAGUGGGUAUACGCGUCAACAAACAACUGACCACUGGAUGCUGGUUCAAACCUGUUACCUCGAGACCAAGCAAAAGUCGUACGCGAAAAAUUGAGAAAAUCCGCUAGUGUGAAGAAGAAACAGUUAGUUUUGUGAAGACGGCAACUUAUAUGACUUUUGUGAUAUGAGGCACAUGUCAAAAACCUAUGAUCGGAAGAUCGCAUUAUUUUACUCCUUUUCUGUACUGUAACUCGACGAAUCGAAUUAGCUUUUUCAGAAAAACUGAUAUUUUAGAAAUAGAUCCCUAAACACCUUUUUAUUGACUUCAGUUUUGUUACAUUUCUUCUCAAUUUUUAUAUUUGAAAGAAUCUGUAUUUAUUUCUGUGGAAUCCCAGACAACUAAUUUACAUAGUAAUUAAUUUUUUUACCAUUAAACUGGGGAAUCCCCUUGUACUUCAAAAAAUUCAAGAAUCAUGGUCGAGUCAAAUGCAAAAAAAAAACAUAUUUCUCAACAAUUGUAUGUUUAUCUGUAUCUGUUAGUUUAAAUUAAAUGUUAUGAAGUUGUGUACAUGUUA
Long non-coding RNA from Helicoverpa armigera (cotton bollworm), 1741 nucleotides. RefSeq lists it as uncharacterized. The transcript has 2 exons. The record is from RefSeq and is a predicted model, not a curated record. NCBI's taxonomy places the organism in Eukaryota, Metazoa, Arthropoda, Insecta, Lepidoptera, Noctuidae.